UGGGGAAUAUUGGACAAUGGGCGGAAGCCUGAUCCAGCAACGCCGCGUGAGGGAUGACGGCCUUCGGGUUGUAAACCUCUUUCAGUGCAGACGAAGCGCAAGUGACGGUAUGCACAGAAGAAGGACCGGCCAACUACGUGCCAGCAGCCGCGGUAAUACGUAGGGUCCGAGCGUUGUCCGGAAUUAUUGGGCGUAAAGGGCUCGUAGGCGGUCUGUUGCGUCGGGAGUGAAAACCCAGGGCUUAACCCUGGGCCUGCUUUCGAUACGGGCAGACUAGAGGCAUUCAGGGGAGAACGGAAUUCCUGGUGUAGCGGUGAAAUGCGCAGAUAUCAGGAGGAACACCGGUGGCGAAGGCGGUUCUCUGGGAAUGUUCUGACGCUGAGGAGCGAAAGUGUGGGGAGCGAACA
Molecule: ribosomal RNA, 407 nt
Filed under: uncultured Nocardioides sp.
Lineage: Bacteria; Bacillati; Actinomycetota; Actinomycetes; Propionibacteriales; Nocardioidaceae
Also listed under: 1 other name
Description: bacterial SSU rRNA
Rfam family: Bacterial small subunit ribosomal RNA
Source: RNAcentral